CAACUAUUACACCCACUUCCGGUGUUUACUGCGUGAUAAAAAAUUCAAAAAUUAACGAUCGUACAGAUAAAAAAAAUCGUGACGUGUUCUGAAGACGUUUGGUUCCCCAGCGCUGGAGAGACAACUUCAUCUUUUCUCCUCUUUUGGAUGCACAACAACAACAACAUCGACAGCAAAUAAUUAUGGACUUUUAUUUGGGAAACGCAACUGCAGGAAGAUGAAGUUCUGUCUUUUGCUUUACUGGGUUUUGCUGCCAGCAGCAGAAUGUGGUUCCCAUUCUCUUGAGUUCUUGUCUACAGGACGUGUUCAGCCUGGAUCUGGGCCCCAUUUUGAACAAGUUACAGAGUUUGAUGGAGUUGUGAUCUCUCACUGUGACAGUGGGACACAACAAGAACACUUCAAACCCGUCCUGGAAUCCCACAACUUACCUGGGACCUGCAGACCAGCAUGUUAUGAUGUUUUUGAUGCUCUCAAAGCGAUUUCUAAAUUCAUCAAUCACACACGGAAUGUUCAGCGGCGGCGUGGCUGCAUCACGUCAGACGAGAGGCUUGAAUCUGCUUUUGACAACUGGGCAGUGAAUGGAGAGGGUUUCAUUCAGUUUGAUGCUGGAGCUCAGAAAUGGAAAGUCCUGUCUCCUUCUGCAGAAAUGAUUAAAGAUUUGUGGAACAGCUAUGAGGCUCAGAACCAUGUGUUUGGACACUUCAUCAAUGAAGAAUGUCCAAAAAUGAUCCAUCAGAUCAAAUUAAGAGAAGCGGAAAAAAGAACAGAUCUCCGUGUGUUUGCCAACCCUGUUGAUUUAACCAGGGCAUUGCUGAAGUGCCACGUCACAAGUACUGACAAAUCAGUGCGUUCAGUGUCUCUGACUGAAGACGGGGCCACCAAGGCAAACUGGAUCACUGUAACUGGCCCGUUGCCUUCUGGGGAUGGAUCAGUGAUCCUCAUCCUGACAGCUGAGGUCCCCCUGAUCCACACCAACAUCUAUGGCUGUGUUGUCCAAACAGAAGACAGAACCAUCACUGUCAUGUGGGGUGAGAACUUUACAUUUACAUACUGCUGCAUGAUUGUUAUUGAGUCGUGAUCCAGGCUGCACACAGGCCAGUGGGAUCUUAUUGUUGCUGGGGGGGUUCUGGUGUGUUGGGUACUCUGGUAAAAGUCCCUCAUGAAGAAGCUCUGAAACGUUCCUGGUGAUUCUCUGGUCUUCCUCCGUCUGAAAGCAGACCUUUUGGAUCUUUUCUGGCUGAGAUUACAGCAGUGUUGGUCAUUAACUCUGUCAGAAACGGCUGUUUCGAUGCUGUUGAAACUUAUUUGAGACUUAUUUUUUUGUCUCUCCACAAGGUUUUUUUUGGCCCAUUUAAUUAACAGAACAUCCAGAAAGAAACGAGCUACUACAGAGUUACAAUUUGGUACAGGCAGUGGAAUGCACAGAAUCACCCUCUGCCAGCAGGGGGCGCUGCAGCAGCUCAGCACCCACCUUUCUAUCGUCUUGGCACAGAAUUAUCAGUGCGCAACGUUGAGCUUCAGUCUGUGUCCAGGCCUCAGACAACUGUCGGCAUUUCACGUUGGUCCAGACAGUUAAUAAAUGUAACAGUUGAAAUACUCUAAAUAGAGUCAGUCACACUUUCUGUUAUUCGGAGCACAGCUUUCAAAAUAUUAAAAAUAAGUUUAUUACAAUAACACAUAUGACGACAUGCUGCAUAGAGUAAAGUAUGGCCAGUUUGGUGAUUACAAUAAUCAUGUUUUUGUUGUUUAUACUCUUUUAUGAGCAGAUGGAAACACACUUGAUGGACGACACAUCCUUUACAUCCAGAUGACGUUUUGGAGAAUUAUCGGCAUCAUCUUUACAGUUUGUUGUUUAAUCUCCGUAAUGACUCUUUUGUGUAAGUCUCACUUCUUUGAUAGUAACUUUCAAGUCAGUCUGUGAGCUGAUAUUUUACUAUUGUGGCCCUGCAUUAAUAGAAUGUUAAUGAUGUUUCUUGUGAAAUACACCUGUCAGCAUCUAUUAAUUGUUUCCUUCAUUUUAUUUCUUCAUAGUCACAAGAGAGGAAAAAGUGGUGAAGGAAACUUAACUCAUGAGUCCAUUGAAGAAUAACUGGGGGAAGAUGGAUUUUAUCCACGGAGGACUUGAGGCAGAGACGACAUCAAUGAUCCAGGAUGUUUUACUCUUCAUGCUGAAAGUGCACGUCUAUAAAGUCACAUGUGCUGUAAUAUUUGGACUGUGUUGUCAUCCAGUAGCAGAGCUUUGGGACUUAUGCUACUGACACGGUCUAACCUUCACUGACUGUCAUCUUUUUUAAGAAGCCAAGAAGGCCAAACUAUGGAAAACUUUAGCAUUUUGACGCUAAAUUCAGUGUUAAUGAUCUUGAGCUUCUUAAUCAGAGCUUAACACUCAUCUUUCAAAACUGCCGUUAAACACCUCGUAAUGCUGUCACGUUUAUGUCUGGUUUCAUUUAUUUUUGUGUUAUUUACUCAUUCAUCUCUCCUCUAUUUUGUUUGCGUCAUUAUUUAUUUUAUGUAAAACACUGGUUAACGACUGGGCAUUAUAAAAAUCUUAUGUUGUUGAAUGUAUGAUGACUUUAUUUCUGUUUCUGAAAGACUCUGAGUUGUUCUUUUAAUAAUUUAACAAAUUCAUGUGAAAACUGGUCCACUUAUAUUCUAUUGAAAAUGAUAAAUUGUUUAACAGUGUUUGGGGAAAAUAAUUUGCAGAACUUGAUAUGUGAAAUCAUUAAUAAUGGAAAAAAAAAAAGAAACUCUUAAAUGUUUGUAAAUAUUGUAUGUUUUUACUUCCUGCAAUAAAUGAAUUUUAUUUUUGUUAAGAGCCUGUGUGAUAAUGUUCAUUUUCAUUACAUGAGGAAAUGUCUGAUUAGAUGAGGUGGUUA
Takifugu rubripes (torafugu) is the source of this 2876-nucleotide long non-coding RNA. Lineage: Eukaryota; Metazoa; Chordata; Actinopteri; Tetraodontiformes; Tetraodontidae. The record is from Ensembl.